This 126-nucleotide ribosomal RNA is filed under the name Alteromonas sp. Its description in RNAcentral is "partial 16S ribosomal RNA". It matches the Rfam family "Bacterial small subunit ribosomal RNA", at positions 1 to 118 of the family's 1533-position model. The record is from RNAcentral. Lineage: Bacteria; Pseudomonadati; Pseudomonadota; Gammaproteobacteria; Alteromonadales; Alteromonadaceae.
AUUUAAUUGAAGAGUUUGAUCAUGGCUCAGAUUGAACGCUGGCGGCAGGCCUAACACAUGCAAGUCGAACGGUAACAUUUCUAGCUUGCUAGAAGAUGACGAGUGGCGGACGGGGGAGUAAUGCUG